CCUACGGGAGGCAGCAGUAAGGAAUAUUGGACAAUGGUGGCAACACUGAUCCAGCCAUGCCGCGUGCAGGAUGAAGGUUCUAUGAAUUGUAAACUGCUUUUGUACGGGAAUAAACUUAGCUACGUGUAGCUAACUGAAUGUACCGUAAGAAUAAGGAUCGGCUAACUUCGUGCCAGCAGCCGCGGUAAGACGAAGGAUCCAAGCGUUAUCCGGAUUUAUUGGGUUUAAAGGGUGCGUAGGCGGGAUUGUAAGUCAGUGGUGAAAUCCCAUCGCUUAACGAUGGAAUUGCCAUUGAUACUGCAAACCUUGAAUAUAUUUGAAGUGGGCGGAAUGUGCAGUGUAGCGGUGAAAUGCUUAGAUAUUGCACAGAACACCGAUUGCGAAGGCAGCUCACUAAACUAUAAUUGACGCUGAGGCACGAAAGCGUGGGGAGCAAACAGGAUUAGAUACCCUGGUAGUC
RNAcentral lists this ribosomal RNA (460 nucleotides) under uncultured bacterium. Its description in RNAcentral is "bacterial SSU rRNA". It matches the Rfam family "Bacterial small subunit ribosomal RNA", at positions 338 to 795 of the family's 1533-position model. The record is from RNAcentral.